UAUGAUUUUUCCUGCUCGUUUUGUCGUCGCAAAAAAACCCUAGCCCAUUCCCGUCCGCAUCCCUGCUGCCGCCGCCGCCGCCCUUCCAAUUCCCUCUGCUCCUGCUGCUUCCCUCCACCUCUCCCUCAUCCACGCCGUCAGGGGCGCCCCUCAAGCCCCACCUCGUCGGUUCCCCACCUGGGCUCCUUCUCCCCCACCCCGGGCGAGCACCGGACAGGCAGAGGGAGUGCCUUGGUCGAGGGACAACGAGGCUCGCCGGCUGGGCGACUUCGAGCGCUGGAGGCUAGACAGGCAGAGGCAGGGGCGGAUCCAUGUGGGGGCAUGGGUGCCGUCGCGCCAUCAAAGGCCUCCACGGCGCCCUCUACCAGGUCACCUCUCUCCAAGAUCUCCUUUUUACCCAUGUUUUUACCACUCUCCAAGCUCGCACUAUUGCUCCGGAAAAUUCCCUUUGGAAUUGGGGAUGAAGCAAAUCGAUUUCGAUUGAUUGGCGCCGCGCAGACGACGGGCGUGGGACGGUGCAGGAGGCGUGCCGCGUUUGAGAGCCACUGUGGAUUAUCUUCGAGGUGUCAGGCGACAUUCGCCUCGAGACCUACCUCCGGGUCUCUUCCCACAUGACCAUUGACGGGCGCGGGUAGCGGGUCAGGCUCACCGACAAGGCGCCGCUUGCCUCUGAACUUGUGAUGUCCGGCCAUUGCAUCUGGGAGGAGCUCCUCUUCAGGAAGAAUGCCGAGACGUACGACACUGCUGCGACUGUCGUUCUCGUCCGCGUUUUGACUACACUUCCAGGCAACUGCGAAGGCAAAAUCUACAUGUGAGAAGUGCAGAUGAGCCCCGCUGUGCUAAUUACCCGUAUUCUGAAUUGGUUGCUGAAGUACUUAAGUGAAGUCUAUUGGUGAAGGAGAUGUGAAGAAUGAUAUAGAGCAAGUAGAUAAAAACCGCAGUUGUUGGCCCAAGUUUUACAUGAGUAUUCCUACAUAUAGAUGAAUACCCUUCUGGUGCUAAUCAAGGAUUUGAUAUUCCAUUAGCUUUGGUUAACCUGCCUGAGUUAGUGCCUACACGAGGAGCUGAGCAAAAAUGCAAUGGGGGAGCCCAUCUUAGAAUUGUUUUCCCUUUUCUUGCAAUAGCUUUCAUUUUGCAGUAUAUUAGCUAAUUCUGCGCAGGAUGAUUACAUAUGCAACAUUUGUAAAGGAGUAGACUUGUUAAAAGUUUCAACUAAUAUUAUAUGAUGCCUGCUGGAUUAUUUUCUUGUCAAACUGAAA
Aegilops tauschii subsp. strangulata is the source of this 1259-nucleotide long non-coding RNA. RefSeq lists it as uncharacterized. The record is from RefSeq and is a predicted model, not a curated record. Lineage: Eukaryota; Viridiplantae; Streptophyta; Magnoliopsida; Poales; Poaceae.